This 458-nucleotide ribosomal RNA is filed under the name uncultured bacterium. RNAcentral describes it as "SSU rRNA". It matches the Rfam family "Bacterial small subunit ribosomal RNA", at positions 26 to 518 of the family's 1533-position model. The record is from RNAcentral.
AGAAUCAACGCUGGCGGCGUGCCUAACACAUGCAAGUCGAACGAGAAAGUGGAGCAAUCCAUGAGUAAAGUGGCGCACGGGUGAGUAACACGUGACUAACCUACCUUUUAGUGGGGGAUAACCUAGGGAAACCUGGGCUAAUACCGCAUAACACUUACGAGUCAAAGCAGCAAUGCGCUGAAAGAGGGGGUCGCGGCCGAUUAGCUAGUUGGCGGGGUAAUGGCCCACCAAGGCAGUGAUCGGUAUCCGGCCUGAGAGGGCGCACGGACACACUGGAACUGAAACACGGUCCAGACUCCUACGGGAGGCAGCAGUGGGGAAUUUGCGCAAUGGGGGAAACCCUGACGCAGCAACGCCGCGUGGAGGAUGAAGUCCCUUGGGACGUAAACUCCUUUCGAUCGGGACGAUAAUGACGGUACCGGAAGAAGAAGCCCGGCUAACUUCGCGCCAGCAGCCGC